Molecule: ribosomal RNA, 372 nt
Filed under: uncultured organism
Description: partial 16S ribosomal RNA
Rfam family: Bacterial small subunit ribosomal RNA
Source: RNAcentral
GUAGGAUUUCGAACGUUAUCCGGAUUUACUGGGCGUAAAGCGCGUGCAGGCGGUUUGGUAAGUUGGAUGUGAAAGCUCCGGGCUCAACCCGGAGAGGUCAUUCAAAACUGCCAGACUAGAGGACGGUAGAGGGAGGUGGAAUUCCGGGUGUAGUGGUGAAAUGCGUAGAUAUCCGGAGGAACACCAGUGGCGAAGGCGGCCUCCUGGGCCGUUCCUGACGCUCAGACGCGAAAGCUAGGGGAGCAAACGGGAUUAGAAACCCCGGUAGUCCUAGCUGUAAACGAUGUAGACUUGGUGUUGGUGGCCUUAAAAUCAUCAGUGCCGCAGCUAACGCGAUAAGUCUACCGCCUGGGGAUUACGACCGCAAGGUUA